GACGAACGCUGGCGGCGUGCUUAACACAUGCAAGUCGAACGGAAAGGCCCUGCUUUUGUGGGGUUCUCGAGUGGCGAACGGGUGAGUAACACGUGAGUAACCUGCCCUUGACUUUGGGAUAACUUCAGGAAACUGGGGCUAAUACCGGAUAGGAGCUCCUGCUGCAUGGUGGGGGUUGGAAAGUUUCGGCGGUUGGGGAUGGACUCGCGGCUUAUCAGCUUGUUUGUGGGGUAGUGGCUUACCAAGGCUUUGACGGGUAGCCGGCCUGAGAGGGUGGCCGGCCUCAAUGGGACUGAGAUACGGCCCAGACUCCUACGGGAGGCAGCAGUGGGGAGUAUUGCACAAUGGGCGGAAGCCUGAUGCAGCAACGCCGCGUGCGGGAUGACGGCCUUCGGGUUGUAAACCGCUUUCGCCUGUGACGAAGCGUGAGUGACGGUAAUGGGUAAAGAAGCCCCGGCUAACUACGUG
RNAcentral lists this ribosomal RNA (468 nucleotides) under uncultured bacterium. RNAcentral describes it as "partial 16S ribosomal RNA". It matches the Rfam family "Bacterial small subunit ribosomal RNA", at positions 28 to 507 of the family's 1533-position model. The record is from RNAcentral.